AUGAAAUGGGACGCUUCUCUUCCAGCUCCUAGUCUUUCCUUUCCUGUUCCCUCCAGCCACAACUGUGUCGCAACCAAGUCUCUCCUUCUCUCUCUCUGUCACUGCCUCCUCUCUCCUUCUCUCUCUCUGUCACUGCCUCCUCUCUCCUUCUCUUUCUCUGUCACUGCCUCCUCUCUCCUUCUCUUUCUCUGUCACUGCCUCCUCUCUCCUUCUCUUUCUCUGUCACUGCCUCCUCUCUCCUUCUCUUUCUCUGUCACUGCCUCCUCUCUCCUUCUCUUUCUCUGUCACUGCCUCCUCUCUCCUUCUCUUUCUCUGUCACUGCCUCCUCUCUCCUUCUCUUUCUCUGUCACUGCCUCCUCUCUCCUUCUCUUUCUCUGUCACCGCCUCCUCUCUCCUUCUCUUUCUCUGUCACCGCCUCCUCUCUCUUUCUCUUUCUCUGUCACUGCCUCCUCUCUCCUUCUCUUUCUCUGUCACCGCCUCCUCUCUCCUUCUCUUUCUCUGUCACUGCCUCCUCUCUCCUUCUCUUUCUCUGUCACCGCCUCCUCUCUCCUUCUCUUUCUCUGUCACUGCCUCCUCUCUCUUUCUCUUUCUCUGUCACUGCCUCCUCUCUCCUUCUCUUUCUCUGUCACUGCCUCCUCUCUCCUUCUCUUUCUCUGUCACUGCCUCCUCUCUCUUUCUCUCUCUCUGUCACUGCCUCCUCUCUCCUUCUCUCUCUCUGUCACUGCCUCCUCUCUCCUUCUCUUUCUCUGUCACUGCCUCCUCUCUCCUUCUCUCUCUCUGUCACUGCCUCCUCUCUCCUUCUCUUUCUCUGUCACUGCCUCUUCUCUCCUUCUCUUUCUCUGUCACUGCCUCCUCUCUCCUUCUCUCUCUCUGUCACUGCCUCCUCUCUCCUUCUCUCUCUCUGUCACUGCCUCCUCUCCUUCUCUUUCUCUGUCACUGCCUCCUCUCUCCUUCUCUCUCUCUGUCACUGCCUCCUCUCUCCUUCUCUUUCUCUGUCACUGCCUCCUCUCUCCUUCUCUCUCUCUGUCACUGCCUCCUCUCUCCUUCUCUUUCUCUGUCACUGCCUCCUCUCUCUUUCUCUCUCUCUGUCACUGCCUCCUCUCUCCUUCUCUCUCUCUGUCACUGCCUCAUCUCUCUUUCUCUCUCUCUGUCACUUCCUCCUCUCUCCUUCUCUUUCUCUGUCACUGCCUCCUCUCUCCUUCUCAUUCUCUGUCACUGCCUCCUCUCUCCUUCUCUCUCUCUGUCACUGCCUCCUCUCUCUUUCUCUCUCGUUCUAUCUCUGGGCUCUGGCAGAGUGCCUUUCAAUUCUCUUCCUGUUGCUCUUUCAAUCCGGAGUGGAAUGCAGGAAGAGGGUUCCACUGCCUCAGUCUUUGUGGGCUCUGUGUCUCUGUCGUUUACUGUAUAAUGAGUUUACAGGGCACUGUAAUGUGA
Molecule: long non-coding RNA, 1431 nt
Filed under: Oncorhynchus kisutch (coho salmon)
Lineage: Eukaryota; Metazoa; Chordata; Actinopteri; Salmoniformes; Salmonidae
Description: lncRNA (ENSOKIG00005008322.1)
Source: RNAcentral